UCGUGCUAGAUGGGGAGCUAGCGGUGCCCUGAACCCGCAAUCCGCUAUAGCGGGGUCGAAUUCCUGCUCGAGGUUUCGUUUCUACCGGGACUGUUCUCCGUCCAUCUGUGAUGAACUCUGGGUCCUGCGCGGCAGAACACUAUGAACCCCGUCAGGUCCGGGAGGAAGCAGC
This 172-nucleotide signal recognition particle RNA is filed under the name Dehalococcoidia bacterium. Its description in RNAcentral is "partial signal recognition particle sRNA large type". It matches the Rfam family "Bacterial large signal recognition particle RNA", at positions 1 to 168 of the family's 256-position model. Rfam says of the family: The signal recognition particle (SRP) is a universally conserved ribonucleoprotein involved in the co-translational targeting of proteins to membranes. The record is from RNAcentral. Lineage: Bacteria; Bacillati; Chloroflexota; Dehalococcoidia.